AUUCCAGCUCCAAUAGCGUAUAUUAAAGUUGUUGCGGUUAAAAAGCUCGUAGUUGGAUUUCUGCUGAGGACGACCGGUCCGCCCUCUGGGUGAGUAUCUGGCUCGGCCUUGGCAUCUUCUUGGGGAACGUAACUGCACUUGACUGUGUGGUGCGGUAUCCAGGACUUUUACUUUGAGGAAAUUAGAGUGUUUCAAGCAGGCGCACGCCUUGAAUACAUUAGCAUGGAAUAAUAAGAUAGGACCUUGGUUCUAUUUUGUUGGUUUCUAGAGCUGAGGUAAUGAUUAAUAGGGAUAGUUGGUGGCAUUCGUAUUUAACUGUCAGAGGUGAAAUUCUUGGAUUUAUGGAAGACGAACUACUGCGAAAGCAUUUACCAAGGAUGUUUUCAUUA
This 389-nucleotide ribosomal RNA is filed under the name Gymnodinium sp. RNAcentral's name for it is "partial small subunit ribosomal RNA". It matches the Rfam family "Eukaryotic small subunit ribosomal RNA", at positions 582 to 975 of the family's 1831-position model. Lineage: Eukaryota; Dinophyceae; Gymnodiniales; Gymnodiniaceae. The record is from RNAcentral.